UGGGGAAUUUUGGACAAUGGGCGCAAGCCUGAUCCAGCAAUGCCGCGUACAGGAUGAAGGCCUUCGGGUUGUAAACUGCUUUUGUACGGAACGAAAAAGCUCUUUUUAAUAAAGAGAGUUCAUGACGGUACCGUAGGAAUAAGCACCGGCUAACUACGUGCCAGCAGCCGCGGUAGUACGUAGGGUGCGAGCGUUAAUCGGAAUUACUGGGCGUAAAGCGUGCGCAGGCGGUUUUGUAAGGCAGAUGUGAAAUCCCCGGGCUCAACCUGGGACCUGCAUUUGUGACUGCAAGGCUAGAGUACGGUAGAGGGGGAUGGAAUUCCGCGUGUAGCAGUGAAAUGCGUAGAUAUGCGGAGGAACACCGAUGGCGAAGGCAAUCCCCUGGACCUGUACUGACGCUCAUGCACGAAAGCGUGGGGAGCAAACAGG
RNAcentral lists this ribosomal RNA (429 nucleotides) under uncultured bacterium. RNAcentral's name for it is "bacterial SSU rRNA". It matches the Rfam family "Bacterial small subunit ribosomal RNA", at positions 355 to 776 of the family's 1533-position model. The record is from RNAcentral.